GCGCCGAGAGCGGGGUGGGGUCGGUGGUUUGCUCCUUGGGAUCGGAGGAAAGAGGAAGGGGAGCUGGGGGUGCUCGGCGACGUGGGGAGGGAGAGGGAAGGCACGCACGCGAGCCGGUUCCUGCGGCGGCAGCGGGAGCCGAGGAGGAGGGGGUGGAGCGGAAAAAGAGGAGGAACGGAAGGGUAGCGAGCGCGCGUACAGCGGCGACAGCUUCUUGUCCUGUCACGCCCAGCGAAGGAGGAAAAGGAGGGUAGCCUAGAUUCCGUACGCCGGCACCUCCGCUCGGAGAGGCCACCGCCGCCGUUUCCCACUGGUGUACCUAGCCAGGGACGUCCUAUCUCUUCUACCCUCUCUCCCUCUCUUCCUUCCUCUCCUCCCUCCGGGCUACCGCCUGCCCUCUCCCAGUGGCUGGCCGCGGCCGCUCCAGUCCAAGCUGGACCACCAACCACCGCCGAGCUAGGUGAGGACCUAGGAAGAAGAAGGUGAAGGGGUGACGGAUUGUGGUUCCUUCUCCCGACCGGCUCCUUCUCCCGCUCCUGCGCCCCUAACUUCUCCCACAAGUACGUAAGUAGCGGACCGGUUCCUGCUCCUACUGCUGCACCCCACCUCGUACAGUAGGGAGACCAAUAGUGUAAGGAAAGACGAUGACCCGACUCUACUCCCAAAAGAGGUGGCUAACACCACCGGACUCAGUCUAUAGCUGUUGGUCUACGAACACCGAUGGUGUGUUUUGCACGAGAGAACGACUGGAGCUCCAGGUCUGCGUUACCUAACAGAGGUUCCACAAAGAGGCUGGUCGUUGUUGUUUUGAGGUGUGAAAGAGUUAACGCGACACUAACCAAGUACAGGUGGUUCCAGCAACGCAACCAGCGCCAUGAGCCGAAGGAAACCCAAACGAACGACAGCUCCUUCUUCUUUCCACACUUGAUACACUUUUACCUGUUUGGGUGACAGGGUCUACCAUUACUUUUUUGACUGUGGUUGAUCGAGUGAGAUAUCUAAAACAGAUCCGAGUUCGAUUGAUGCAUAGACGUGGUGCUAACGAGCGACCCCUAUAUCUACAUACGGAUUGUAGUCCAAUAAUGGUGUGGUAUCAUCGACGAGCAACCCUUAUAUCUAUAUAUAAAGUAAAACGUCCAAACUUUGUUCGACCAAGGAAAUAUACUUUAACAAAUAAGUACUAAACAAUUACAUCUUUAGUAAAGUAAUUAAUCAAAGCAUACCAGGCACACUAAGUACGACGUUACGAAAAGAAGUCAGCCAAUUAGCACAUCAUUAAUCUGCCACAUCAUGAUACCGCCACCAUAUGACUAUAGCACAUCAUUAACUACGAGACAAGUACCGAAAAAAGAAUAAAAUAGGAAGAAACGAAAAAAGGAAGGGACGUUCUUCUACAGCUCAGUACAUUAUACAAGUUUCUUCUCUCUUAGACGUAAAAUACUUAGGAAAGAAGAAAGAAGUAACAAUGAAGUUCAAUCACUUAAGUAAAUUCAACAUAACUCGUCGAAGUACACGUACCAAAGAAGUAGAUGUGUAGAAUAAGUCAGUGCUCCGGAGAUUCUAGAAAACGGAAAAUCUUUUUCCCUCUACGGUAAAUCUGGAAUGAGAAGGUUGAACUAGAAAUUGAACGAUCGUAAAAGGGUUCGUAAAAAAUAAACGAAGUCUCUUACUUGAGUGGAAUAAGUCACCUACACGGUUCAUUUUUUUAAUCUUUGACUUGUUAAUCAAGGUGAGAAUUUAAAACAUGUUGCCAGGUUUAAUAGGUUAUUUAGUCAACAAUCGUCCCAGAUUAAUAUCUUCAACUUAGUCAACAAGGGAGGAGAAGAGAAGCUUGGGUCGGGAGAGAACUCACACAGCACGGGAGAUGAUGCCAUUUCGUGGUCCAGGUGCACUCGAGGAGGAAGUUGGGCGCAUACAUUAAAGAAGGAAAAGGUACUUACGUGUGUAGAUUUCGUAAAAAAACCCAAGGGAGUAGAUUUAAAGAAGACUUCACACGUCUAACAAUAAGUAAUAGUCCCUCCUGUUAUAAGAAAAGUUCCUGAGUAAUCAGGGUCUUAUAAAUCGACCGUUCUAUGUAUAAAAUACUAAGUAGGUAGAGAGGUUAAGACUGGAAUGUAUAGUUGGACAGAAGUACAUGGGAAGAUAUAUACCACGACGAUGAAAAAAAAGGAAUGUACCUAUAUACAUACUCUAAAGAAACAAAUCCAUAUAAACACGGACUUUCUUCAAAUGUAGAUAAAAGAACAAUCUACUCGGACUUACUCUUAUGAAUACUCUAGCGUACUUACUCUACAACUGCGGGACAUACGAGGUACAUAGUAAGAAGGGUGUAUUACCUACGCUAGAGAAGACGGCGAUGCAGAGGCAAGCUGAGCGGUUCCAAACAACAAGAGGAAAAAUGUACACACACGCGAAAUGAAAGUGAUAGACGAUAUAGUACGAUAUACGGAAGUACUAGCAAAUUUAUAAUAAUACCACAGACGGUACGACUAGCAAAUUUAUAAAGCCUAUGCCGUCCCGUAACACACAACAAGCAAGAGAACGAUGAAUGUCAAGUACAUACGCACACUCGUCCUAGAUACGUGAACAAAGGCAACAAUAUGAACAAAACCUCUGACUUCAUCGAGCCACACGAAACGGUAGCGAAAGCACAGACACACUCCAACAUCUGCUGCCAAGACAAGAACGACCACAUCUUGAGCUCGAGGGUCCCCUGCCAAGACGAGGUCACGGUGUUUCUCUAAAAAAGGCUCGAGCCGACCCACACCAAAAUACUUACCGAUACUCAUCCGACGAGAUGUCCAGAACACAUAAAACGUUCCAAAUAUACCUGAAAAGCAAGUACUGUUAUUGAUACUUACAUACUACCGGAUAUCCUCUAGAAAGACAAGUUCUUGUAACACCAAAGAAACUAAGGAUGAUACGAUAAAUGAAUCAGACGUCCGGUCGUAUAAUAAAUCUAAGAAAGAUUGAUGGAAUGAAGCUUCGAGUCAUGACCAGAGGAAGUUCGAUGUUGGGGUUCCGCUCGAGACCACCAGUUCGACUACGAAGAAGCGGAGUACAACUUCUUUUCCUACUAUUCCUACAGGUACGAGCUCACUGGUCCUUAUUAACCCCUAGGAGUCUAUUGAAGGCUUCGCUCCUCAAUUAGAAGCUGUAUCAGGGCAAAGCGUUACCGAUAGUGCGUGACGAACCUGCUUGACGUAAACGUUUCAAGUUACGCCACGGCGUGAUACGUAUGGAGUUCGAGUUCUACGAUCCGGGAGCUCCUCAGUAAUGCCAGUUUCCUUUGUAGCUUGCGAGAGAGACUUGCCUCCUCGUAUGCCGCCGAGAACACCGCCUUCAUGUUUCGUCGGAGAGUUCCGUUAGGAGUUCAGGCCGAUAAUUUGUAGGCCUGUGGCACUUCGCGCGGGCCUCAUUGGAUGAUGUUCUGGCAGACCGUGCAAGACUCGUGCGUAUCGUUACGCCCGGGUUGGGGUCGGGAGCGCUUUAAUACUUUGGUCAUGAUGCGCAUGUAUUAAUGCGAGACCUUUAUGGUACCCGUAUCCCCCUCCCCGUGCUGGUGCCGUCCGGGUCUUCCGCCGAAUUGGCGUGAUCCCCGAUGGCGAACACAGUAAGAAAAAAGAGAAUGAAAGUCCUGAGGAAAGAGUUCUUCGGGACAGACCGUCAUCUUAGCGGCUUGUGUGCUACGUUGUCGGUCCCUUCGUCUUUCGAUGCAGCUCACAGGUCCACCAGAGAUAUUGCUCGUCAUAUGAACAAAGUGUAUAGUGGGCCGUCGAGAGGGGACCUCCCCCUGUACAGUUUAUCAGGGCAGGUAACGAAUAGCGUGAUAAACAUAGCAAGACGAAAAUGGCGUCGGAAAAAUUUAUUUGUUAUGUAUCGAAGACGAAU
RNAcentral lists this ribosomal RNA (3891 nucleotides) under Triticum aestivum (bread wheat). Its description in RNAcentral is "partial small subunit ribosomal RNA". Lineage: Eukaryota; Viridiplantae; Streptophyta; Magnoliopsida; Poales; Poaceae. The record is from RNAcentral.